UGAACCCAUGGCCUCUGACUCCAGAUUCAAUAUUCUUUCCACUGUACCAUGCUAAAUGGUGUGGUUUAAACUGUUACAUGUGGUAGGAAUUGAGGGAAAAGAAGGGUAAAGUAGGCUAGAAUGGUCAGGGGUAGGAUUUGUGUUGGGCCUUGAAAGAUGGGUAAGAUUCAAAUAGGUGGAGAAGUGGGGAAUUGUAUAAUUUUCCCAACUAGAGUAUAAACUCCUUGAGGGCAGUCACCAUAUCUUCUCUUUCUUCUAUAUACCAUAGAGCAUCUAUCCCAGCACUCAUCACACAUUAGUUUAAGAGUGAGAUCAAAGAUUUUUUAGGUUUUCCUGCAAGUUGUUUUUACAAAAAGCUAAGAAAGUGCUAGGCAAAUAGAAGAGAAAAUGGCCUUGCCCAUUGAACUUAACUUUGUCUUUAUGGCCUUCCUCUGCCUCUUCAUCUAUGUGGGAGAAUGGAAAAGAUGGAAGGGGGCUUGGAGUUGAAAAAACUGGGAAACCCCAAACUGCAGAACUAUAUACUAGCUUUUAGGUGAAUAGAUUUACAUAGAUAAUGACCAGGUAUAGAUAUUAGAAUCAGAGAUUAAAAUCAGGAGGUAUAUGGAUUGCUCACCAUGACCUAGAGUUAAACUGCCCAUGGAAAUCUAGUCCAAAGAAAAGAUUAAGUACAGUAACAUUACUCCAUACAUUAACAAACUUGGAGUAUUCUACAACAACAGAGCUUGGCAUCUGAGGCAAAGAAUCUCUGGUGAAGAUGAAAUGUUUUCUAUCCAAAAUUCUGGAAAGGAACAGAUAGGCCACUCUACAAAGCCAGAAGGGUUUCUCCACCCACCAGCCCCAGGCCUUUUACUUAUCCUUUGACUGAGGAGGGUUUCUUUCUUAAGAGAGUUACAAGAAGUGACCUUUUCUUUUCAUGAGGAAGAGUAGCAAUUUAGCAAAGGUUCUGAGCUUGAAGCCAGAUGUGGAAGAAAAGAGAAGUUUCAUAGCCAUAUAUGUAUAUGUAUGUAUGUAUGUAUGCUAUGAAUAGCAGAUGGAUUAUGUCAAUAUCUUACAGGGACAACAUGUCUGGCACCUAAUGGAACAGCAUGUCCAUCAGAGACCAUCAGGGAUCAGGCCCAACUGAGCAGAGUGUGACAUCACUAGAAGAUAUCAGAGACUCUGUGGUGUCAGAGGUGUGAAUUACUCCUCCAAACAUGUGUCCUGGUCAUACAUGUAUGCCCUUCCAUGAAAGUCCACUCUGCCCAUUGAUGGUCAGAAAUGAGCAAUCCUGAGAAUGCACAUUUUCAGCCUUGGGGAUGACCUUGCAGAUAAUCUCGCUCUAAAGGGUUCUUCUGUUCUAAAAUUUACAAGCAAAAGAGUUCUUGAGUUGAAGAAUUGGAUGCUGGCCUCUGAUGGGAGAAGAUUCCCUCAAUCGUGUCUUGGAGAAGAAAGAGAAUCCUCAAUAAGAUUCUCCUGAAUUUGGAGGACUAAAGCCACCUUAUGGAGGGACAAGAGGUCUGGACCUUGCCAUAAUAUUGCUGUGCAUCACUAUCUACCAUUCUGCACUUCCUCUCUGAGAAGAGUGGGAAAGGAACAAGAGCUGGACCCUGGCUUAUUUCUCUUUUGUCCUGGCCACAUUGGCCUGAAGUCUUCUCUCAUUCCCUUCAUCCUCCUUCAAAGGACCAUAAUAAUUUCUAAGAGGAAACAAUAUUGGGGAUAACUGCAGUAGAAUUAUAGUAAAAACAACCCCCCACCCAAAAAAAAGAAACCAAGGCAAACAUUUAAAAUAUGAAAAACCAAGAGGUGUAUGGGGGAAGCUCAAUGUUGAAGAAGUAGAUUUUUUUUCCCAGUAGAGAAGGGAAAUAUGUUCCCCGAGACUUCAUAUAGGGGUUUGGAGUCUGGGGCCCAAGGCUCAUACGGUGAGUUUGCAGUGACACAGACCCUUUGUCUACCUGCCUUUGAACUAUGGGCUUUUAUGGUAGUAUGAAGUCAAAUACACUUAGUCUUAAGCUAAAAAACAUACAAACAAACAAAAAACAGUCCUAAUGUUGAGGUUUAGGGGUGCUGGGACCCCAAAAUUACAACAUGUGGGUCCUGCCCAAAAGAAUUCGACCCAAGCCUCCCAUCCCCAUCGUUCCUCCCUCAAAUAAAUGGGGCCCAAAUUCUUUUUUUGGGGGGGGCAAUUGGGGUUAAGUGACUUGCCAAGGGUCACACAGCUAGUAAGUGUC
This is a long non-coding RNA of Vombatus ursinus (common wombat), 2207 nucleotides long. RefSeq lists it as uncharacterized. Lineage: Eukaryota; Metazoa; Chordata; Mammalia; Diprotodontia; Vombatidae. The record is from RefSeq and is a predicted model, not a curated record. The transcript is spliced from 3 exons.